RNAcentral lists this ribosomal RNA (612 nucleotides) under Salmonella enterica. RNAcentral's name for it is "partial 23S ribosomal RNA". It matches the Rfam family "Bacterial large subunit ribosomal RNA", at positions 1 to 652 of the family's 2925-position model. Lineage: Bacteria; Pseudomonadati; Pseudomonadota; Gammaproteobacteria; Enterobacterales; Enterobacteriaceae. RNAcentral also lists the same sequence under 1 other name. The record is from RNAcentral.
GGUUAAGCGACUAAGCGUACACGGUGGAUGCCCUGGCAGUCAGAGGCGAUGAAGGACGUGCUAAUCUGCGAUAAGCGCCGGUAAGGUGAUAUGAACCGUUAUAACCGGCGAUUUCCGAAUGGGGAAACCCAGUGUGACUCGUCACACUAUCAUUAACUGAAUCCAUAGGUUAAUGAGGCGAACCGGGGGAACUGAAACAUCUAAGUACCCCGAGGAAAAGAAAUCAACCGAGAUUCCCCCAGUAGCGGCGAGCGAACGGGGAGGAGCCCAGAGCCUGAAUCAGCAUGUGUGUUAGUGGAAGCGUCUGGAAAGGCGCGCGAUACAGGGUGACAGCCCCGUACACAAAAGCGCAUAUGCUGUGAGCUCGAUGAGUAGGGCGGGACACGUGGUAUCCUGUCUGAAUAUGGGGGGACCAUCCUCCAAGGCUAAAUACUCCUGACUGACCGAUAGUGAACCAGUACCGUGAGGGAAAGGCGAAAAGAACCCCGGCGAGGGGAGUGAAAAAGAACCUGAAACCGUGUACGUACAAGCAGUGGGAGCCUCUUUUAUGGGGUGACUGCGUACCUUUUGUAUAAUGGGUCAGCGACUUAUAUUCUGUAGCAAGGUUAACCG